This is an RNA transcript of Oncorhynchus kisutch (coho salmon), 2691 nucleotides long. It is a transcript of the gene named MFS-type transporter SLC18B1, with no coding region annotated. The record is from RefSeq and is a predicted model, not a curated record. Lineage: Eukaryota; Metazoa; Chordata; Actinopteri; Salmoniformes; Salmonidae. The transcript has 13 exons.
UAGUUUUGCAACUAAAACGACAGUUUCUAUUGGACAAAUUCAGCUAGGUCUCUACACGUUACGUUCCUUUGAAGAAACGUUUCUCAACAGAAUAGUUGUAAUAAAUACACACCAGGCCUCCUCCAGACUCGCAUUUUGGCGAAUCCAGUGCUCUUUCUCCAGUCCUUAUUCAAGAGCACGAUAUUUCUGAGUUGUCCGCUGGCGCCGAAGAGUCAUUUAUGAAUUUAACCGGCCAGCUUGUGACACAUUUGGUUUCCCUAACUUUAUGAAGCAGUAUCUAACAUUAUUCAUGUACCAGGCAUUUCAGAUUUGAAUAGCAAUCCGGAUUAGUAGGAUAAUCUAUGAAUGACAAUAUGGAUUCUGAUGAAGUUCAACAAACAGAUGGCAGCACAUUAGAAGAAUCAACAAGUAGUCCUAAUCAAAGGAUGACAAGAUAUCAGAUCCUCACAUUGACGUCAAUCGCAUCUGUCAACUUCAGCUCAAUGAUUUGUUACUCUAUACUGGGACCAUUCUUCCCCAAAGAGGCUGUGAAAAAAGGAGCCAGUCAGACUGUCAUUGGCCUUAUAUUUGGCUGCUAUGCUCUGUGUAAUCUGAUGGGCUCCUUAGUACUGGGUAAAUAUAUUGUUCAGAUCGGGGCAAAGUUCAUGCUAAUUUCAGGCUUAUUUGUGUCAUCAGUGUGCACCAUUCUCUUUGGCUUACUCGACAAAGUUCCUGACGGAGCUACUUUUAUUAUCCUGUGCUUUAUCAUAAGGUCUGUUGACGCUGUUGGCUUCAGUGCUGCAAUGACCUCUUCUUUCGCCGUUUCAACAAAAGUUUUCCCAAACAGUAUAGCAACUGUUCUGGGUAGUCUGGAGAUCUUUACAGGGCUGGGUCUUAUACUGGGACCACCAAUAGGUGGAUGGCUGUAUCAGUCUUUUGGAUACGAAGUUCCUUUCAUGGCUCUGGGAUGCUUCCUAUUUCUCAUGGUCCCCUUCAACAUGUACAUCUUACCAAGCUUUGAUGCUGAUCCUAGCAAGGACUCCUUCUUCAGGCUGUUCACGCGUCUGAAGAUAGUCCUCAUAUGCUUUUCCAUAUUCACCCUGAGUUCUGGACUCGGCUUUCUAGAUGCGGCCUUGUCCAUAUAUGCCAUUGAUACGUUUAACCUGUCUCCAGGCUAUGUGGGUCUUCUCUUGCUUGGUCUGUCGUUGCCUUACUGUCUAGCCUCACCUCUGCUUGGUAUCGUCAGUGACAGGUUUCCUUCCACGAGGCCGUGGUUCAUGGUGCUAGGAGGCUUGUUUACAGCAACUGGCUUCUGGUUCUUAGGUCCUGUCCCCAUUCUGCAGAUAAAGAGUCAGCUGUGGCUGGUGGUUUUCAUGCUGGGUAUCAUAGGAUUCUCUCUUAGCAUGACUGCAAUCCCUACCUUCCCUGAAAUACUCGACUGUGCAUAUGAAAAUGGAUUUGAGGAGGGGCUGAGCACUCUGGGACUGGUGUCUGGAUUGUUUGGAGCAGUGUGGUCCUUUGGGAUGUUUUGUGGUCCAACGCUCGGUGGCUUCAUCACUCAACAGCUGAGCUUUGAGUGGGCUGCUUCUGUUCAAGGAGGCCUGGCCUUUCUAGCCGUAUGCAUUAUAAUAAUACAUGUAUUUUAUAUAGUGCUUUUCAUUACAACAAGAAUCUCAGACACUUUAAAAAAACAGAUAAAGCAGACAUUUGGUUCUGGCAGUUCUUGGACCAUGGUCUCCCACAGCUUCAGAUGAAUAGGUGAGGCAGUUCAGAAGGGCAGAUUGGACAUUUAUGAAUCCCAUUGGGCACACUUCAAUACUGUCAGUCCUGCCUCGACACUCCUGACUGCGGUCUCCUGACCCCUAGAAAUGGGGAACUCAAAUGUCUUUGCUAAAUUGCUCACGUGGACAUCAACACAUUAUUUCUGCUAGUCAGUAAGAUUGCGGUCACAUGGAUAAAAAAAUAAUGAAUUUUAUUUUUCAAUGUGCUGUCUGACUAUGACUGUUUCCUCUUCUCCUCAGGCUUUUUUUCUUGGUGUAUAUUUUCUCUGUCAAAGAACACGACAAGAAAGGUCUCUUCCAAUCCAGACGAAAAGACCUUCUGAUGAAGCUACCCAUCUUCUGACCUGAACAACGAUCAUCUACCAGGAACAAUUUAUAUUUUCUGCUAUGAGAAACUGGUCAGAUUAAGAUCCUACACCUGUAUAUGUACAUCGGUGCUAAAUGUGGAAUGUAACUUGUAUUAAAAUAUACAACUAAGAGGAUGAUGCUACACAAGUUAUCAUUUGUUGUCAUAGCAUUAGCAAUCAUAACAGAAGCAGUUCAGUUUGCAUUAUGCCAAUACCAUAUAAGACCUGUGUAUAUAAUUACUUGCACUGUCAAGGACCUCAACAAGCCGUGGUAAAGCUUUGGAACUAUUUGAAUUAGUUUGUUAAAAAGCUAUUUUAAAACACCAUGUACUUCGGAACAGGAAUGUUUCACAAAAGAAUGUUUACUUGACGAUAAUCAAAUGGCAUUUAUACAUAUCAGUUGGCCAUGUUAAAUAUGCACCCAUUGAAAUCCAGUCCUAUGUAAAUGUCCCUCAUUCUCCAAUCUUCACAGCACCUGACAUGGGUUAUGUCUGAAUAGUUAACCUCCUUUAUGGCUAUGUAGAUUGACCAAUUACCAUAUCAGUGACGGCAAUAAAAAAAAGAUUUUCAAAUGGACCAAUCAA